Molecule: ribosomal RNA, 468 nt
Filed under: uncultured bacterium
Lineage: Bacteria
Description: partial 16S ribosomal RNA
Rfam family: Bacterial small subunit ribosomal RNA
Source: RNAcentral
GACGAACGCUGGCGUCGUGCUUAACACAUGCAAGUCGAACGGAAAGGCCCUGCUUUUGUGGGGUGCUCGAGUGGCGAACGGGUGAGUAACACGUGAGUAACCUGCCCUUGACUUUGGGAUAACUUCGGGAAACUGGGGCUAAUACCGGAUAGGAGCUCCUGCUGCAUGGUGGGGGUUGGAAAGUUUCGGCGGUUGGGGAUGGACUCGCGGCUUAUCAGCUUGUUGGUGGGGUAGUGGCUUACCAAGGCUUUGACGGGUAGCCGGCCUGAGAGGGUGACCGGCCACAUUGGGACUGAGAUACGGCCCAGACUCCUACGGGAGGCAGCAGUGGGGAAUAUUGCACAAUGGGCGGAAGCCUGAUGCAGCAACGCCGCGUGCGGGAUGACGGCCUUCGGGUUGUAAACCGCUUUCGCCUGUGACGAAGCGUGAGUGACGGUAAUGGGUAAAGAAGCACCGGCUAACUACGUG